AAUCAAUGAACUUGUAUAAGUAUAUACCUUGAAAGUAUAAAAAAGAAAAAUAAUUUUCUAUUGAUUU
RNAcentral lists this transfer RNA (67 nucleotides) under Sympiezomias velatus. Its description in RNAcentral is "tRNA-Ser". The record is from RNAcentral. Lineage: Eukaryota; Metazoa; Arthropoda; Insecta; Coleoptera; Curculionidae. RNAcentral also lists the same sequence under 1 other name.